Pelobates cultripes (western spadefoot toad) is the source of this 242-nucleotide non-coding RNA. Lineage: Eukaryota; Metazoa; Chordata; Amphibia; Anura; Pelobatidae. The record is from the annotation of a GenBank genome assembly.
CUCACGCACAGUAUGCACUAAAAAUCAACUUUUAUUCUGAUUAAAGGUUUAAAAUAUCUGGAUGUAAAUGUGGUUGAAAGUGCUGGCUCAGAUUGUUACUGCUGGUACAGCAAUGAAUGGUACUUGUUGGCUCCAAGCUCUGUUCAAGCACAGAUGAAAGAGAGAUGCAUCUUUGUUACACUGUGCAGAUAAUUCCACAAUAUCCAUUGUCGUGGAGCCUCCUCAGAGCCUUUACAUGGUUC